GGGUUAAAGGAAGUGCGGAUACUGUAGGGGCCAGCUCCGGUUAGGGGCUGGUCCUGCC
This is a non-coding RNA of Synechococcus sp. CC9902, 58 nucleotides long. Lineage: Bacteria; Bacillati; Cyanobacteriota; Cyanophyceae; Synechococcales; Synechococcaceae. The record is from Rfam.